This 145-nucleotide unclassified non-coding RNA is filed under the name Myrmecridium thailandicum. RNAcentral's name for it is "sequence contains ITS2". RNAcentral also lists the same sequence under 1 other name. The record is from RNAcentral. Lineage: Eukaryota; Fungi; Ascomycota; Sordariomycetes; Myrmecridiales; Myrmecridiaceae.
CAACCCCUCAAGCCCAGCUUGGUGUUGGGGCACUGCGUCCCGCAGGCCCCCAAAUCCAGUGGCGGACGCGCCAGGUCCCCGAGCGCAGUAGUUUCUCCUCGCUCUGGGCGGCCGGCGCGGGCUUGCCUCGCCCCAUCACGCACAA